CGUGGGGUACUCGAGUGGCGAACGGGUGAGUAACACGUGAGUAACCUGCCCUUGACUUUGGGAUAACUUCAGGAAACUGGGGCUAAUACCGGAUAGGAGCUCCUGCUGCAUGGUGGGGGUUGGAAAGUUUCGGCGGUUGGGGAUGGACUCGCGGCUUAUCAGCUUGUUGGUGGGGUAGUGGCCUACCAAGGCGGCGACGGGUAGCCGGCCUGAGAGGGUGACCGGCCACAUUGGGACUGAGAUACGGCCCAG
RNAcentral lists this ribosomal RNA (252 nucleotides) under uncultured Actinomycetales bacterium. RNAcentral's name for it is "partial 16S ribosomal RNA". It matches the Rfam family "Bacterial small subunit ribosomal RNA", at positions 81 to 334 of the family's 1533-position model. The record is from RNAcentral. Lineage: Bacteria; Bacillati; Actinomycetota; Actinomycetes; Actinomycetales.